This is a long non-coding RNA of Mus musculus (house mouse), 1093 nucleotides long. RefSeq annotates it as predicted gene, 46004. NCBI's taxonomy places the organism in Eukaryota, Metazoa, Chordata, Mammalia, Rodentia, Muridae. The record is from RefSeq and is a predicted model, not a curated record. The transcript is spliced from 2 exons.
GUCUUAGGCUCCCUGGCUCCGGGUCCACUGGAAGGGCGGGUUCUCGAGCCUGAGUCAGGCUGGGGGUGGGGUUUGUGCAGGGGCGGGCCUGCUCACAGGAGCUAAGCCUAGGGUGGGGCGGAGCCAACACCAGAUGGAGGAGGGGAGAGGCGGGCAUAUGGGGCAUUCCUGUCAGUCAGGCCCCUGAGUCCUCCCCUGGCUUUGCCCCGCCCUGCCGCGGUUACGCGCAUAUUCCACCCUCCACUCCCAUGACGUCACGACCCUGUUACCAAAGCGCUUCUUAAAGGAGCCGCGAGUUUGGACGACUACAGCCCGCCUUCUUGUUGGGAGCCCUGGAGAUCCUUGGAACCUCUGUCCUGGCCCCCCAUCCCCCCCCCCCGAUGUGGAACCGGUCUUCAGCCUGGGUCCAGGCCCUCGCCGGGUUGUCAUGAUGCCAAGAUGCAUGAUGGGAGCAGGCAAAUUUGCACUGCCAAUGAGGUGGAAAUGCUGCUAUAAAGAAGCAAAGACUGGUGUCCAUCUUCACCCCACUUUGCACAGACAUAGGGUAUGCUCCUACUGCUCUGCUACACUCUGCAAUGGCAUCAAGCUCAAGCUGCAGUGUGGUUUGCCUUUAUCUCUGCCUGUCUCUAGUCUACCUCUCAACCCUUUUAUUCCACAAAAAUCCAUCUCUCAACUGAUUAGUGUCCACACCACUCAGUAGUAGAUGUCUGCUGUGAACUGAACUGCGUACCCCAUCCAGACUCGGUAGACUUAAGCCCUAACUCCACAUUCGGUUAUUGGGAAAUAAGGACUAUCCUGGGGUCUUUAAAGUUACAGGGGCCUGAAGGGCGGCGUUCUGAUCUACUGGGAUUAGUGUCCUUAUAAAAAGUGGGAUCAGAAGUCCUCUGUCCUCUGCCCCUCCAGCUGCACAUAAAGGUCAUGUGAGCACAGCAAGAGGACCUCUGCCUAACACCAGGAGCACCCUGUGCUGGAACUUGAAUUUCCAAGCUCUGGAGCUGUAAGAAAUAAAUGUCUGCAGUCAAACUUCCUGUCUGUGUCAUUUUGCCAUCCCCACGGAGCUGAAUAAUUCAACAAAGUUAACGCAUGCCAAGCA